This 253-nucleotide ribosomal RNA is filed under the name uncultured bacterium. RNAcentral describes it as "partial 16S ribosomal RNA". It matches the Rfam family "Bacterial small subunit ribosomal RNA", at positions 524 to 776 of the family's 1533-position model. The record is from RNAcentral.
UACGAAGGGGGCUAGCGUUUCUCGGAAUCACUGGGCGUAAAGCGCACGUAGGCGGCUUCUUAAGUCAGGGGUGAAAUCCUGGGGCUCAACCCCAGAACUGCCCUUGAUACUGAGGAGCUUGAGUCCGGGAGAGGUGAGUGGAACUCCGAGUGUAGAGGUGAAAUUCGUAGAUAUUCGGAAGAACACCAGUGGCGAAGGCGGCUUCCUGGACCGACACUGACGCUAAGGCGCGAAAGCUAGGGGAGCAAACGGG